UACGUAGGGGGCAAGCGUUGUCCGGAAUCAUUGGGCGUAAAGAGCGUGUAGGCGGCCAGAUAAGUCCGCUGUGAAAUCUCGAGGCUCAACUUCGAGCUGUCGGUGGAAACUGUCUGGCUAGAGUCCGGAAGAGGAGAAUGGAAUUCCUGGUGUAGCGGUGAAAUGCGCAGAUAUCAGGAAGAACACCCGUGGCGAAGGCGGUUCUCUGGGACGGUACUGACGCUGAGACGCGAAAGCUAGGGGAGCGAACAGG
This 253-nucleotide ribosomal RNA is filed under the name uncultured bacterium. RNAcentral's name for it is "partial 16S ribosomal RNA". It matches the Rfam family "Bacterial small subunit ribosomal RNA", at positions 524 to 776 of the family's 1533-position model. The record is from RNAcentral.